GAUGAACGCUGGCGGCGUGCCUAAUACAUGCAAGUAGAACGCUGAAGGAGGAGCUUGCUCUUUCCGGAUGAGUUGCGAACGGGUGAGUAACGCGUAGGUAACCUGCCUGGUAGCGGGGGAUAACUAUUGGAAACGAUAGCUAAUACCGCAUAACAGUAGAUAUUGCAUGAUAUUUGCUUGAAAGGGGCAAUUGCUCCACUACCAGAUGGACCUGCGUUGUAUUAGCUAGUUGGUGAGGUAACGGCUCACCAAGGCGACGAUACAUAGCCGACCUGAGAGGGUGAUCGGCCACACUGGGACUGAGACACGGCCCAGACUCCUACGGGAGGCAGCAGUAGGGAAUCUUCGGCAAUGGACGGAAGUCUGACCGAGCAACGCCGCGUGAGUGAAGAAGGUUUUCGGAUCGUAAAGCUCUGUUGUAGGAGAAGAACGAGUGUGAGAGUGGAAAGUUCACACUGUGACGGUAUCUUACCAGAAAGGGACGGCUAACUACGUG
This 496-nucleotide ribosomal RNA is filed under the name uncultured bacterium. RNAcentral's name for it is "partial 16S ribosomal RNA". It matches the Rfam family "Bacterial small subunit ribosomal RNA", at positions 28 to 507 of the family's 1533-position model. The record is from RNAcentral.